Molecule: long non-coding RNA, 5451 nt
Organism: Gallus gallus (chicken)
Lineage: Eukaryota; Metazoa; Chordata; Aves; Galliformes; Phasianidae
Exons: 3
Source: RefSeq, a predicted model, not a curated record
UAUGGAGACUCUGGCAUUUAGAGUGUCUGCGGUCUGGGGUAUUGCUUUUGCCAUAGCUUUUAAUGGUUAUCUUCCGCCUUAAUGGGGACCUUGGCACAAUGAUGGCAUGGAAGGUUUAGCAGGCACAAAUUCUUACCUGCGUGCGGUGAUGAAGUUAGAAAACACAUCAGAAGAGUCAAUGUUUCUGUUUGCUUGAUCCAUAGAAAUUCGGUUGCUUUAAUUUCUGUCCUCGUAAAAAAUCAUGCAAGUCUGCUCGUUCUUUCAUCAAAACUGAUUCAUACCUGAGGGACACUUGUAAUUUGGAAGUAAUUAGUGAAUAAGUCAGAUAAAUACUAUCCAUUGAGAUUCAUGAAAGCACGUUGGACAGGAUUCAUAAAGAGCUGUAUCGAAUUUCAACAAUUAAAGCUUACAAAAUUAUCAGUAUGGUAAGUCCAUUUCAUCACAAAUGAGUUCAGUGUUAAUGACCUCUGUCUUCUGAGCAAUCUGAAGAGAUUUCACAAUCUCAGAAAGCGGCUAAAGUAGAAGGAGAAAUUCUGUAAAAGUUGAGCAAAAGUGUGACUGUAUCCGGCUAUCUGGUUUACUUACAAGCUGCAUUUAUUGCAAACUGAUCUGCUACACAGUUCUUCUUAGAUUCAUCUUUAAAUUGUAAAGUCUUCUACUAUGGGACUCUGAGAUGCUGCAGGAUUGUAGUGUAGCUCUGUAGCGACAUGUGGAUGGGCUUCUGUGAAUGCCCAGGGCUAUGCCAUUCCUUCCUGCAAAACAUGAAGUAUGAUAACUUGAUGUCUGUUGUGACCUCUUCCCAAGCUCUAGCAGAGCUUAUACCAGGUGCCAUAUAUGAGGUUUCAGGGACUGUUAUUCAUCUAGCUCACUGUAGUUACUGGAAAUACCAUGGAAUUAUACAACGCAUAGAUAAUUAAAAUGAGGUACAAGUUGCAAUGGAUUAAGGAAAUAUGCUGUUCCUAUACUCUGCUUUAGUGAAUUGGUGCAUUUUUUUUAAUCAGUUAGUCAAAGUGGGUAUAAUAAUCGGUAGGACAAAUGAUGACCAGAACAAGAAUCUUAUUGCUGCUUGAUACAAUUUGUGAUUGCUGCCAGUAUAUUUUUUUUUUUUGUCUUUUUAUACCCAUCUUUAGUGUGAACUUCAAUGUGUAUUUCUCCCACUGGUUCAAGGGGGAAAAAAAAAAAAGGAUCUGAUGGAAAUGGGAAAAUUCUGCUCUGCUUGCAGGGUGCUGUGUAGCACACCCAUAUCUGCUUUAGUAUUUUUAAUUGUAAAACUUCUCUAUCAACAUUACUGACUUGAAAUAUAGAUGCAAAUCAGGAAAUGAAAGGAAGAAUCAUCUAGAUGUUAAUAACAUUAAGCAUGAGCUCUUCGAUCAGACUAAAUGCUCAUUCAUUUAGUCUCUGAACAGGACUGAAAAGCCAUCAGCAAAAUAGGUUUGACAGGAUUGGGUGUUGCUACGGAGUCUAUGUUAAGACAAAGAUUUCUUUCUCAGAACAUUCUCUUUUUGUGCUGGCAGAGGAAACCUUCUUUUGAUCGAUUUAGGGCAGUGAAUUGUCUUCACUUUAUUACUUACUCUUUGCCUACAGCACUUAAAAGCUGCAGAUGUGGAUUGGGGCUGUAUUUUACAAGACAAGGGCAAAAACACGUGGAAGUUUGUCUCUGUUCUUACCAACGUUUUUCCUGAUUCUGUGAAUGGUUGCUGUCAGUGUUAUCAAUAGGCUCCCAGAGUGGAAGAGUGUGCCAUGGAGAAGGAAGGGCUGAGAGAACUGGGGUUGUUCAGCCUGGAGAUGGCAAGGCUUUGGGGAGGCCUCUUUACAGCCUUUCAGUACUUAAAGGGAGCCUAUUUAAAAAAAAAAAAAGACUGAUUUAUUACAUGUUCUGAUAGUGAUAGAACAAGGAGGAAUGUUUUUAAACCAGAAGAGGAAAGAUUUUGAUUAUUUAUUAGGAGGAAAUUCUUUACCCAGAGAGUGGAUAGACACUGGCGCAGACUGCCCAGAGAAGCUGUGAAUGUCCCAUUGCUGGAGGUGUUCAAGGCCAGGUUGGAUGGGGCACUGGGCAGCCUAAUUUAGUAGAUGUCCCUGCCCACAGCAUGGGGUUGGAACUAAACCAUCUGUAAGGCCGCUUCCAACCAAAACCAUUCCGUGAUUAAAGCCAGGAACCUGAAGAGAUGCCAGCACUGGCUCCAGACGGACUUAUGGGAUAUGCAAACAAGCAGGUGAGCGUGCUAAGGAACAGUGGGCAGAUCCAAGCUACAUCUUGCAACAGCCAGGAGGGAGCCUGCACCCACACCUACUCAGUUGCCAGGAUGCCACUAGGUAGUGGUAAAGGAGAAAUGAAAGUUUCAGGCAUCUUCCUGAGAGGGUGGAUGGUGAGAGGACAUGUGUCAUUGGUGACUUGAAGGAGCUGCUGCUUUUUGUGGGGCAACCUCCAGUGCUCCCCCUGUGAGUCCUUAUCCCUGCUGAGGUAGACCAUUUCCCUUACCUUCCUCCUUUUCCCCCAGGGGAAUCACGUUCUUCUCAGCGGAGCAUGCAAAAGAUAGGCUUUUUUAAUGAAAUCAGCAGUAUUUCAAAGAACUGACUAUUGGCUGAAGACCAAAGAUGACAUAGCAAGCAUUUGAAAUCCCAAAUAAAGAAUUUUAUGAAAAUCUUGCAAAUUUCACUUGUUGAAGAAUUGCAGGGAGGGAAUGGAUACUGAUUAACUUCAGACUUCAAAGUCAGUAUUUAAAUUGAGAAUUUUUCCUCUGGAGGUAAAGGCAUGUCAGCGACCUCUGCCAGCUGUCUUAGUAAUAAAUGUAUUUUCUAUUCCUCGGAUUCAGCUGUAGUAUCCUAUAAAACUAAAAAUACAAAGGUUUAGAUUCCACCGUCUCUUACAAUGGUUAAAAUUAGCACCAAAUGCUAAUUCCACUGAUGUAUCCCGGGAGGAUUAGACCAAAAUAUUAUCCUGUUAUUUCAACUUCUAUAGCAAAAACAACAAAUGCAGCUGUCUCGCAGUCCAGCCAGCUCUCUCUCACAUUUCACCUCAGUUUCUCACUGUUGUAAUGCUGUCAGAGCUUUCAGAGACUCUUAAUUUUUUUUUGUUCAACUUUCCACCUUGUAAAGUCCUUUGUACUUUGUAGGGAGUGAAUGGCAAGCUCUAGGCAAGAAGAUUGGCUCUACUUCAUGCGCACAGCAUGUAGGCACUAAUGACUGCACAAAGGGUAAAGCUAUGGAGAAGCCAACCAGCAACCUUGAUCUGACACUAUUCCUUAUGCUGGUUCCAUGAUGAUAGUCCUCAGAGAUCCUGUUUCUCUGCAAAGUUUCCAGUCAGAGUUUUAAAACAAGAGCCUGCUUGCCUGCUUUCUGGAACAAAUGUAGAAGUACAGACUAGAGCCUAAUAAAAAAGCUGCAAGAAAUUGAUGCCAUCAUGUUUGGUUACACAUGACAUCAGUAUAUUGGCAUGGGCUGCUCCUAACUGCGGUUUUGCAGGAGGAAGGGAUUAAAACCUCCUGUGGGAAGGGCAGGAUUAGUCCUGCAGAAACCAGGCUGUGCUGAAGAUAGGCAGCAACUCCUGCUUCUGCUUGCAGACUUUUGGCACCGUCCCUGCCUGUAGUUUGGAGCAUCUCUGCAUGGUGUGUGCAGCGACAUUCCCAGGUGGAAGAGGGGAAAGUAUGUGCAGCUGUUCUGGAUUCUAAUCCAUUGCAAAGCUCAGUCCCCAGUGUUGCAUGGGGUUGCAGGGGAGCAAGGGUCCUGCUGCUUACCCAGUCCUCACAGUUGUUACGGAAGCAUGCUGGCCAUCUACUGAUUGGGUGACAUAGGGCAGGAUAUCCUGGGACAGACUGUCUCCCAACAUGAGGGGAACUCACCUGGUGGGUUUGAUUCUGAUGGGAGGAAGUUUUUCCUUCCAGUUCUCACUCCUUGGUGCUGUGGUAACCCAGCUUUCCCGCCCUGUGCACAGCUGGACUUCCUUCCUGCCCAUCACAACCUCUCUCUCUCCCUUCCUCUCCUUCCUUUCUUCUGUGCUCGCUUUAUCAUGGACCUUCCCUUGACAGUAAAAGUAAAUACCUUAACGAUGUGUAUAGGAAUGAGUAGAAGAUCAGAGAAGAAGUGGUGGCCAUCAGUCCAAUGGCUUUGUCUCUACACUGCUCUUUUAUUUCCAGCCAUCUUGCUCUUUCCUGCAAAUGCCCAGCAUUAGGCUUCUCAGGAGCCUGAUGCUGAUCAGAUCCUCUGGGAUCAUGAUCUGAGGAUCAUGAGGAGCUCCUGGAAUGGUGGGUAGAGUAGGUGCCAGCUAUGUUAUGAGAAUUACUUUUCAGUACGACUGUAUGAUACUUACACCACUUUGUAGUUUUUGAGGAGACCAGGAGUGAUUCACUGCAAAGUUGUUCUGAAUGUUAACGUGCAGGGACAUGUGCAUUUCUAACCCUUAGUUAUGAAACUGAGACUGUGGUCAGCUCAUAACUAGUCUGUAAAAGACAGAGAUGGCGUUUUCACUCUCAGGAGUGUUGAAUCUCAGCGUGUAUUGGAGAAUGAGAUAAGGUGUGGCAAGCGGGGUGGAUGGAGUUUGACCUGUGAGGUGCAGUCAGUCCCUGCGGUGCCAGGUUUUCCAUGGCUUUUGAUGCUGUGAUGUUCAUUGCCGUUGGCAGUGGCAAAGCUUGUAUGUGAGGCUAAGAGUGAGUACAGUUAUUUCUACUUCCCUGUUGUCAACCCAUGCUCACAUACAUGUAUGUAUCCAGGCUGGAUGUGGCUCUGGGCAGCCUGGUCUGGUGGUGGCAACCCUGCACGUAGCAGGGGGGUUGAAACUAGAUGGUCAUUGUGGUCCUUUUCAACCCAGGCCAUUCUAUGAUUCUGUGUGAUCUCUGGGCAGUGCUGGAGGUGCCGUGUGCGUCCUGUAGGAAAGCGAUAGCUGGCCCCAGUGCCAGGCAGUUUGAACUUGAUAGAGUGUGGAGGGAGGGUAUCAGAGGCACAGAAAAUGGUUUUGACCUCCCACUAAAACCUGGAGAUUUACACUUCUAAGUCCCCGUGCUCCUACAGAAUAAUCUGGGACACGUUCCUUGGCAGAAGCCCCACUGAGCAUUUCUCCAGCUGCUAGGUUGCCAGCUUGAGUGAAUUUUACUGCAAGUCUCACUAUGUUUGGUAAUUGUUUUACAGCCUGAGCUACUGGAAAUGGGUCAUUAGUAACAAAUGGAAAAAAAAAAAAAAAAGCUAUCCCCACUGCCCCCCUUCAACUCGAAACCCUAGGUUUUGUCAUAGAACCUGAAGACAGGCACCCUGCCUGCCUAUGUUCAUCCCCAAGAGCAAAGUAAAACCUGGGACUCUGCUUUCCAGAUGCUCCAGCUUGGGAUGCUUGGCUUGCAUUAAACAAAUGACUCAGGUUAACAAUGUUAUCAUUGUGUCCCUCCCAAGGAAUCUCCCUUAAGAAGAAGAUAAAUAUUAAAAAGGCACUGAGCUAUGUUGAAAAUAAAAAGAAAAAAAAAAUCU